UCCCUAGUUUAACUUGUCUUGAGUCCUCUUUAUGACUUAGUGAAGCCAGUAGGAGGAUUCAUGACUGGUUGGCUGGACCAGUUUAUGCCUGAUCUUCUUAAAUCUGACUUGUGAAGUCAGUGGAAUGAUUAAGAUUAACUAGUCAAGUCUCAUCUCAUCUCUCAAUUCAACUAAUUAAAUCAUCUAAAAUUGUUAGGUUCCUAAAAUGAAAUAGUUAUAGUGAUAACUAAAUCAUAGCCUCCCAUUAAGUUGGAUGAUAAUAAGUUCAAUGAUUUAGAUAAUCAUUAGAGGUGCCACAUGCGUAGUGCUCAUCUAGCUGUCGGAAUUAUCAUUCAUAAUAUGUUGUUUUAGUUGUGUCUUUCUGAUGAUGGUCAAGUUGGUCGAGCCACACUCGAGCCCGGUCACUCGUUUAUUAGAUACACUAAAUUCUGGCAUGUUAAUGGUUGGACCUAACCAGAACCUUCAGUGGAGGCACUACACGCCUGCUGAAGAGGUGUCUGGGGCAAAAUUGAUUACUAAAAAUUAUUUGGUGAAAUAAUUGGUUAAGAACCUAUCCAUGGGUACACAAGGGUUGGUCGAGCCACACUCGGGCCUAUGUGCAGUCCAUGUGG
This 611-nucleotide long non-coding RNA is filed under the name Elaeis guineensis (African oil palm). Its description in RNAcentral is "long non-coding RNA (EGUI_LNC041458)". Lineage: Eukaryota; Viridiplantae; Streptophyta; Magnoliopsida; Arecales; Arecaceae. The record is from RNAcentral.